CGGAGGGAUCAUUAAAGAGUUCUAUAACUCCCAAACCCAUGUGAACAUACCUAACGUUGCCUCGGCAGGUCGCACCUACCUUGUAGCACCCUACCCUGUAGGGCCUACCCGGGAGGUGCGGGUAAGCCUGCCGGCGGCCCACCAAACUCUGUUUGAUAUUGAAUUCUGAACCUAUAACUAAAUAAGUUAAAACUUUCAACAACGGAUCUCUUGGUUCUGGCAUCGAUGAAGAACGCAGCGAAAUGCGAUAAGUAAUGUGAAUUGCAGAAUUCAGUGAAUCAUCGAAUCUUUGAACGCAUAUUGCGCCCAUUAGUAUUCUAGUGGGCAGGACCGUUCGAGCGUCAUUUCAACCCUUAAGCCUUCGUUGCUUAGUGUUGGGAGCCUACGGCAACGUAGCUCCUCAAAGUUAGUGGCGGAGUUGGUUCACACUCUAGACGUAGUAAUUUUUUAUCUCGCCUAUUAGUUGGACUAAUCCCCUGCCGUAAAACCCCCAAUUUAUAUCAAGGUUGACCUCGAAUCGGUUCAGACAAACUCGCUAAAUUGAAGCAUCUUAGUCAGCGAAGGAAAAGAAACCAACAGGGAUUGCCCUAGUAACGGCGAGUGAAGCGGCAACAGCUCAAAUUUGAAAU
This 629-nucleotide ribosomal RNA is filed under the name fungal endophyte. RNAcentral's name for it is "eukaryotic LSU rRNA". The stretch from base 191 to 344 matches the Rfam family "5.8S ribosomal RNA". The record is from RNAcentral. Lineage: Eukaryota; Fungi.